CGGGACACGUGGUAUCCUGUCUGAAUAUGGGGGGACCAUCCUCCAAGGCUAAAUACUCCUGACUGACCGAUAGUGAACCAGUACCGUGAGGGAAAGGCGAAAAGAACCCCGGCGAGGGGAGUGAAAAAGAACCUGAAACCGUGUACGUACAAGCAGUGGGAGCACGCUUCGGCGUGUGACUGCGUACCUUUUGUAUAAUGGGUCAGCGACUUAUAUUCUGUAGCAAGGUUAACCGAAUAGGGGAGCCGAAGGGAAACCGAGUCUUAACUGGGCGUUAAGUUGCAGGGUAUAGACCCGAAACCCGGUGAUCUAGCCAUGGGCAGGUUGAAGGUUGGGUAACACUAACUGGAGGACCGAACCGACUAAUGUUGAAAAAUUAGCGGAUGACUUGUGGCUGGGGGUGAAAGGCCAAUCAAACCGGGAGAUAGCUGGUUCUCCCCGAAAGCUAUUUAGGUAGCGCCUCGUGAAUUCAUCUCCGGGGGUAGAGCACUGUUUCGGCAAGGGGGUCAUCCCGACUUACCAACCCGAUGCAAACUGCGAAUACCGGAGAAUGUUAUCACGGGAGACACACGGCGGGUGCUAACGUCCGUCGUGAAGAGGGAAACAACCCAGACCGCCAGCUAAGGUCCCAAAGUCAUGGUUAAGUGGGAAACGAUGUGGGAAGGCCCAGACAGCCAGGAUGUUGGCUUAGAAGCAGCCAUCAUUUAAAGAAAGCGUAAUAGCUCACUGGUCGAGUCGGCCUGCGCGGAAGAUGUAACGGGGCUAAACCAUGCACCGAAGCUGCGGCAGCGACACUAUGUGUUGUUGGGUAGGGGAGCGUUCUGUAAGCCUGUGAAGGUGUACUGUGAGGUAUGCUGGAGGUAUCAGAAGUGCGAAUGCUGACAUAAGUAACGAUAAAGCGGGUGAAAAGCCCGCUCGCCGGAAGACCAAGGGUUCCUGUCCAACGUUAAUCGGGGCAGGGUGAGUCGACCCCUAAGGCGAGGCCGAAAGGCGUAGUCGAUGGGAAACAGGUUAAUAUUCCUGUACUUGGUGUUACUGCGAAGGGGGGACGGAGAAGGCUAUGUUGGCCGGGCGACGGUUGUCCCGGUUUAAGCGUGUAGGCUGGUUUUCCAGGCAAAUCCGGAAAAUCAAGGCUGAGGCGUGAUGACGAGGCACUACGGUGCUGAAGCAACAAAUGCCCUGCUUCCAGGAAAAGCCUCUAAGCAUCAGGUAACAUCAAAUCGUACCCCAAACCGACACAGGUGGUCAGGUAGAGAAUACCAAGGCGCUUGAGAGAACUCGGGUGAAGGAACUAGGCAAAAUGGUGCCGUAACUUCGGGAGAAGGCACGCUGAUAUGUAGGUGAAGCGACUUGCUCGUGGAGCUGAAAUCAGUCGAAGAUACCAGCUGGCUGCAACUGUUUAUUAAAAACACAGCACUGUGCAAACACGAAAGUGGACGUAUACGGUGUGACGCCUGCCCGGUGCCGGAAGGUUAAUUGAUGGGGUUAGCGGUAACGCGAAGCUCUUGAUCGAAGCCCCGGUAAACGGCGGCCGUAACUAUAACGGUCCUAAGGUAGCGAAAUUCCUUGUCGGGUAAGUUCCGACCUGCACGAAUGGCGUAAUGAUGGCCAGGCUGUCUCCACCCGAGACUCAGUGAAAUUGAACUCGCUGUGAAGAUGCAGUGUACCCGCGGCAAGACGGAAAGACCCCGUGAACCUUUACUAUAGCUUGACACUGAACAUUGAGCCUUGAUGUGUAGGAUAGGUGGGAGGCUUUGAAGUGUGG
RNAcentral lists this ribosomal RNA (1765 nucleotides) under Escherichia coli. RNAcentral describes it as "partial 23S ribosomal RNA". It matches the Rfam family "Bacterial large subunit ribosomal RNA", at positions 418 to 2167 of the family's 2925-position model. The record is from RNAcentral. Lineage: Bacteria; Pseudomonadati; Pseudomonadota; Gammaproteobacteria; Enterobacterales; Enterobacteriaceae.